This 206-nucleotide long non-coding RNA is filed under the name Panax ginseng (ginseng). RNAcentral describes it as "long non-coding RNA (PGIN_LNC012307)". The record is from RNAcentral. Lineage: Eukaryota; Viridiplantae; Streptophyta; Magnoliopsida; Apiales; Araliaceae.
CAAAAUCACAUUUCCACGAACCGGCUUCUGAGUAACUGUAGCAUCCCCGAAUCCGGGUCCCAAAUCGCCACGGAUCCGGUAUACUAUUUCUAUCACUAUUGCGGAAGAUAUAAACAUAAAUUAUUUAUACAUUAAACUUUACACAUCAUUCCCAAGGUCUACAACCUUAACUUAAUACAUACCUUCAAUAUCUUAGAAGAUUUACA